UAGUGGCGAACGGGUGAGUAACACGUGGGCAAUCUGCCCUGCACUCUGGGACAAGCCCUGGAAACGGGGUCUAAUACCGGAUAACACUGUCCCCCUCCUGGGGGACGGUUGAAAGCUCCGGCGGUGCAGGAUGAGCCCGCGGCCCUAUCAGCUUGUUGGUGGGGUAAUGGCCUACCAAGGCGACGACGGGUAGCCGGCCUGAGAGGGCGACCGGCCACACUGGGACUGAGACACGGCCCAGACUCCUACGGGAGGCAGCAGUGGGGAAUAUUGCACAAUGGGCGAAAGCCUGAUGCAGCGACGCCGCGUGAGGGAUGACGGCCUUCGGGUUGUAAACCUCUUUCAGCAGGGAAGAAGCGAAAGUGACGGUACCUGCAGAAGAAGCGCCGGCUAACUACGUGCCAGCAGCCGCGGUAAUACGUAGGGCGCAAGCGUUGUCCGGAAUUAUUGGGCGUAAAGAGCUCGUAGGCGGUCUGUCACGUCGGGUGUGAAAGCCCGGGNCUNAACCCCGGNUCUGCAUUCGAUACGGGCAGACUAGAGUGUGGNAGGGGAGAUCGGAAUUCCU
This 565-nucleotide ribosomal RNA is filed under the name Streptomyces sp. 340H08. RNAcentral's name for it is "bacterial SSU rRNA". It matches the Rfam family "Bacterial small subunit ribosomal RNA", at positions 93 to 671 of the family's 1533-position model. Lineage: Bacteria; Bacillati; Actinomycetota; Actinomycetes; Kitasatosporales; Streptomycetaceae. The record is from RNAcentral.